CCUACGGGAGGCUGCAGUGGGGAAUAUUGGACAAUGGGCGAAAGCCUGAUCCAGCCAUGCCGCGUGUGUGAAGAAGGCCUUCGGGUUGUAAAGCACUUUCAGUGGGGAAGAAAGCCUUGGGGCUAAUACCCUCGAGGAAGGACAUCACCCACAGAAGAAGCACCGGCUAACUCCGUGUCAGCAGCCGCGGUAAUACGGAGGGUGCGAGCGUUAAUCGGAAUUACUGGGCGUAAAGCGCGCGUAGGCGGUCUGAUAAGCCGGUUGUGAAAGCCCCGGGCUCAACCUGGGAACGGCAUCCGGAACUGUCAGGCUAGAGUGCAGGAGAGGAAGGUAGAAUUCCCGGUGUAGCUGUGAAAUGCGUAGAGAUCGGGAGGAAUACCAGUGGCGAAGGCGGCCUUCUGGACUGACACUGACGCUGAGGUGCGAAAGCGUGGGUAGCAAACAGGAUUAGAUACCCCAGUAGUC
RNAcentral lists this ribosomal RNA (465 nucleotides) under Vreelandella stevensii. RNAcentral's name for it is "partial 16S ribosomal RNA". It matches the Rfam family "Bacterial small subunit ribosomal RNA", at positions 338 to 795 of the family's 1533-position model. Lineage: Bacteria; Pseudomonadati; Pseudomonadota; Gammaproteobacteria; Oceanospirillales; Halomonadaceae. The record is from RNAcentral.